This 247-nucleotide ribosomal RNA is filed under the name uncultured bacterium. Its description in RNAcentral is "partial 16S ribosomal RNA". It matches the Rfam family "Bacterial small subunit ribosomal RNA", at positions 523 to 769 of the family's 1533-position model. The record is from RNAcentral.
AUACGAAGGGGGCUAGCGUUGUUCGGAUUUACUGGGCGUAAAGAGUAUGUAGGCGGAUAUUUAAGUCAGAUGUGAAAUUCCCGGGCUUAACCUGGGAGCUGCAUUUGAUACUGGGUGUCUAGAGUGUGGAAGAGGUAAGUGGAAUUCCGAGUGUAGAGGUGAAAUUCGUAGAUAUUCGGAGGAACACCAGUGGCGAAGGCGGCUUACUGGUCCAUUACUGACGCUGAGGUGCGAAAGCGUGAGGAGC